Mustela putorius furo (domestic ferret) is the source of this 144-nucleotide non-coding RNA. The record is from Rfam. NCBI's taxonomy places the organism in Eukaryota, Metazoa, Chordata, Mammalia, Carnivora, Mustelidae.
AGCUUUGCACAGUGGCAGUAAAGUAGCCAAUGAGGUUUAUCCGAGGCACGAUUAUUGCUAAUUGGAUACUUCACAUAAGUGGAAUCAUUCAAUGCAAUCUUUUAGGUCUGGCUUAUUUCAUUUUUUAGGUUUACCCAUACAGUA